This 497-nucleotide ribosomal RNA is filed under the name uncultured bacterium. Its description in RNAcentral is "partial 16S ribosomal RNA". It matches the Rfam family "Bacterial small subunit ribosomal RNA", at positions 28 to 507 of the family's 1533-position model. The record is from RNAcentral.
GAUGAACGCUGGCGGCGUGCCUAAUACAUGCAAGUCGAGCGAACAGACGAGGAGCUUGCUCCUCUGACGUUAGCGGCGGACGGGUGAGUAACACGUGGAUAACCUACCUAUAAGACUGGGAUAACUUCGGGAAACCGGAGCUAAUACCGGAUAAUAUAUUGAACCGCAUGGUUCAAUAGUGAAAGACGGUUUUGCUGUCACUUAUAGAUGGAUCCGCGCCGCAUUAGCUAGUUGGUAAGGUAACGGCUUACCAAGGCAACGAUGCGUAGCCGACCUGAGAGGGUGGUCGGCCACACUGGAACUGAGACACGGUCCAGACUCCUACGGGAGGCAGCAGUAGGGAAUCUGCCGCAAUGGGCGAAAGCCUGACGGAGCAACGCCGCUUGAGUGAUGAAGGUCUUCGGAUCGUAAAACUCUGUUAUUAGGGAAGAACAAAUGUGUAAGUAACUAUGCACGUCUUGACGGUACCUAAUCAGAAAGCCACGGCUAACUACGUG